Cucurbita maxima (winter squash) is the source of this 1706-nucleotide RNA transcript. It is a transcript of the gene named RPM1-interacting protein 4-like, with no coding region annotated. The record is from RefSeq and is a predicted model, not a curated record. The transcript has 8 exons. Lineage: Eukaryota; Viridiplantae; Streptophyta; Magnoliopsida; Cucurbitales; Cucurbitaceae.
GUCACUGUCUGAUGAUUUGAAUUCUCCGGUUGUGAAGUUCUUCGUCUUCAAUCAUUCGUCAUCGCGCUGACCUCAUCUUGUUCAUUUCCAUUUUUCGAUACUCUCUCUCUCUUCUUUGUGUUCAUUUCUCCAAAAGAUUUAGUUAAAAAGUGAAAAAUGAUGCAAAACUUUUGCUCCAGAAAGUGGAGUGAAAAAUGUUGCUGUCAAAUCGUUUUCUUCUCCCCAAUUUUUUUCAUUUUAGUUCACCAAAAGCUUCCGUUAAAAAAGGUCAUGAAAUUCUACAGAUCCGUCUUCCAAUUGCAAUAUUAUUCGAUUUCCAGAGGGUUUUCACAUUAAUUUUGGAUCAUGUUUCGGGUCCUACUUCGAGAAUCUAGACUUUCGAGUCAAUAAUGUCGCUGAGUUGAACUUGGAAGAAGUUAAAAUAGGUUGCUCGGUUUGAUUUGGGAGUACAGUUUUGAGAUUUCUAGCCUCGUCCUUAGGCUAAUGGCUCAGAGUUUGCAAGUACCAAAAUUUGGGAAGUGGGAUGAUGGGGAGGAUGUCCCGUAUACGACCUAUUUUGACAAUGCAACAAAGGCUAUUUCCGAGAGGUUGAAUUUAAAUGAUCCUCUUCAACAAGAGGAGAUUUCGAAGCAACACGAAACUAGAGAAGGUGUUGUGAGGAGGCAAGCCGAGUCUCCAUUGCACCGGGAUGGUUCAGAACUGCCUGGUCAAGAUUAUGACAGUUUAAAAUCAACCACGAGUCGGGGUCAACAAGCAUUAAGGCAAAAGUACACUCAAGAACAUUCGAGCUUGGAAGAUGGUAAUGCAAAAAAACACCUUGAAUCUCCUUUGGACCAUCAAACAAGGAGUUGGGUUAGCUUUAAUUCCCCUCUUCAUCAACGCCAGGGAAACAACAUGGCCACUUUGAGAAAUGGCGCAGCUUCUGACAGCAACAUAGAAAAUCCAUCUCUCCAUACACGACAGCAUCCAAGGACCGAAGCAAAAAGCGUUGUACCAUCUUCGCCGUUACGGGACCGUAGGGGUUUGAGUUCACAUAAAGGAGGUUGUCAUGAUGGUAUAACUCCCUUGACUCCUGGAAGAUCACGUCAACAAUCCGCUCCUCGGGGCAAUGAAACUCCUGAUCGUAGCCCCACAGUUCCAAGAUUUGGUGACUGGGAUGAGAGCGAUCCAACAUCAUCUGAGAACUACACAAGUAUUUUCACCAGAGUACGUGAGGAGAGACAAACUGAGGAAGAAGGGGGUUUUCCGGUGGGGACUAACAUUUCUCAUGCUGACCGUCGUAAUCGAUCCGAUGCCGAAAAUUCUAGGUUUUCCGGUGGGGACUAACAUUUCUCAUGCUGACCGUCGUAAUCGAUCCGAUGCCGAAAAUUCUAAGAAAUGUUGCUGUUUUCCAUGGGGAAAAUGACUGUGGGGAAGUUUUUGUUCUUCCAGUAAGGAAUGAAAAUGAUGGGAAAUUUUCGUUUAAUGGAAACCCGAAUGCCAGCAGGUACGAAUCGAGAACCAUUCUAGAGAGGAGCUAGAAUUUUGAGUGAUUUCAAACUUAGAUUGAUCGAUUGAUUUUAGGUGUAUUUGUCAUUUAGUAUUCCUUGAAAUAGAAUUCAAAUCCUAUUUUUACUUUUAUUGGCUCUACAUAGAUGGAAUUUCUGAAAUUACCAUUUCAUUCUUUUUUUUCUUUUUUGUAUUAGUGAAGUUCUUAUUGUUUUUCC